This 214-nucleotide unclassified non-coding RNA is filed under the name soil metagenome. Its description in RNAcentral is "partial contains 5.8S ribosomal RNA, internal transcribed spacer 2, and large subunit ribosomal RNA". The record is from RNAcentral.
AACGCACGAGACCUGCGGACCUGCGGAAGGAUCAUUACAAGUGACCCCGGUCUAACCACCGGGAUGUUCAUAACCCUUUGUUGUCCGACUCUGUUGCCUCCGGGGCGACCCUGCCUUCGGGCGGGGGCUCCGGGUGGACACUUCAAACUCUUGCGUAACUUUGCAGUCUGAGUAAACUUAAUUAAUAAAUUAAAACUUUUAGCAACGGAUCUCU